This 540-nucleotide long non-coding RNA is filed under the name Danio rerio (zebrafish). Its description in RNAcentral is "si:ch211-114l13.14 (ENSDARG00000096615.2)". The record is from RNAcentral. Lineage: Eukaryota; Metazoa; Chordata; Actinopteri; Cypriniformes; Danionidae.
CUGCAACGUUGUCAGAAUAAACAAAACAUUAGCGUCAAAUAUUAAACUUUGGAGACACUACACAGACGUUUUAGAUAGAGUAUACCGUCGAUUGAAAGCUUUUAAAGUAUCUCAACAAAGGAUUAUAUAUUUGUUCCGAGCAUUUGGCUGCAGAUUGAACGAGAUGAAUGAAUCUGGUAAACGUUAAGGGAAUUUUGUCGACAGACUGGAUUUAUAUCCGCUACAGCUAACGUUACUCUGCAAACCAUCCCAGUCGAGCUGCUGAGACUGAACCUCCUGCAUCAGAUUCUGCAGACGCCGCUUAAAGAACACCUCGAAGCGCAGAUCGUCCUCGAUCACCAGAGACGACUGCAGGCCACGAUCCACAAUCUGCAGAGACACGAUAAUAUAUAAAUACUAAACCACUCUGAUACAAAACAUGCAAAGUUGGGUCGUCCUCCACUGUGAUUGGACAGAGAGCUCAAUAUUGUCAAAUGAGCAGAGCUCUGCAUUUUACUCAGUCAACAUUAAAACCCCACUGCUGUUGGGUCCUUUUCAUCC